GUAGGGAAUAUUGGGCAAUGGAUGCAAGUCUGACCCAGCCAUGCCGCGUGGAGGAAGAAGGUCCUCUGGAUUGUAAACUCCUUUUUUGGGGGAAGAAUAGUUCUCUUGCGAGGGAAUGUGACGGUACCCUAAGAAUAAGCCACGGCUAACUACGUGCCAGCAGCCGCGGUAAUACGUAGGUGGCAAGCGUUGUCCGGAUUUAUUGGGUUUAAAGGGUGCGUAGGUGGUUUGAUAAGUCAGUGGUGAAAGCUGGUUGCUCAACAAUCAAGUUGCCAUUGAUACUGUCGGACUUGAGAGAAGUGGAGGUUCAUGGAAUGGAUGGUGUAGCGGUGAAAUGCAUAGAUAUCAUCCAGAACGUCGAUUGCGAAGGCAGUGGGCUGUACUUUAUCUGACACUGAGGCACGAAAGUGUGGGGAUCAAACAGGAUUAGAAACCCCAGUAGUCC
RNAcentral lists this ribosomal RNA (445 nucleotides) under uncultured bacterium. RNAcentral describes it as "bacterial SSU rRNA". It matches the Rfam family "Bacterial small subunit ribosomal RNA", at positions 354 to 796 of the family's 1533-position model. The record is from RNAcentral.